RNAcentral lists this long non-coding RNA (708 nucleotides) under Canis lupus familiaris (dog). RNAcentral's name for it is "lncRNA (ENSCAFG00000042185.2)". Lineage: Eukaryota; Metazoa; Chordata; Mammalia; Carnivora; Canidae. The record is from RNAcentral.
GCAUCCUGCACUUGUGAUAUUCAGAGCCCUCGGAACCAGAGGAAUCUGCAGCCACGCAUACCGGGUGACCUGAAGUCUGGAGAGGCCUUGAAAUCUGUGAAGAUCUACACGAGCUUGUCCACUGCCACUUGUCAUUAUAGAAUCUGAGGGUUUCUUAGACCUCAGGAGUGGGGAACUUGAGGACCUUUCAAAGGAAGCGUCCGUCACCGCAUGCAACAGGUGUGCAUCUCCAAGAAGCGAAAUAUGAGAAACAUGCAACUGCCCCUCCCCCCAAGCGAUCCGCCUCAAAUCCAAAGACAAUGUAUGGUGUCCAGAUUGCCUACUUAAGAAAACACAGAGGACAUAUUCUCUCUACAAGGAUAUUCUUCAGUACCCAGUUGGAACUAUGGAUUCAAAAUUUUGAGUGCUAAAUAUUUUGCAGUGUACUUCGAGGGUGUCCACACACUGCUUUCUGGGGGCUGCAGAAACAGCAUUAUGAGCACAUCUCUAUGCACAUUACACCCUGGUGGACACGGAGUGUGCACUGAGAAUACUCCGCACACGCAAUUUUGAUUGAGAAGUUCUGACUUUAAGGCUUGGAAUCCCCAUUUACUAAAUUUAUAAACUUAGAUCAGACUCAUGUACUUGCCCUGUAAGAACCAUGGUCUGUCCUUGGGAAAAUGGCUCAGUACGUCCCACCUGUCCCUGAAGUUCCUGGGAGGAGGAGCA